RNAcentral lists this ribosomal RNA (441 nucleotides) under uncultured bacterium. RNAcentral describes it as "bacterial SSU rRNA". It matches the Rfam family "Bacterial small subunit ribosomal RNA", at positions 196 to 632 of the family's 1533-position model. The record is from RNAcentral.
GGGAUCGAAAGACCUUAUGCUUUUGGAGCGGCCGAUGUCUGAUUAGCUAGUUGGUAAGGUAAUGGCUUACCAAGGCAACGAUCAGUAGUUGGUCUGAGAGGACGACCAGCCACACUGGGACUGAGACACGGCCCAGACUCCUACGGGAGGCAGCAGUGGGGAAUUUUGGACAAUGGGCGCAAGCCUGAUCCAGCAAUGCCGCGUGAGUGAAGAAGGCCUUCGGGUUGUAAAGCUCUUUCAGUUGAGAAGAAAAGAUUGUAACUAAUAAUUGCAAUCCAUGACGGUAUCGACAGAAGAAGCACCGGCUAACUACGUGCCAGCAGCCGCGGUAAUACGUAGGGUGCAAGCGUUAAUCGGAAUUACUGGGCGUAAAGGGUGCGCAGGCGGUUCUGUAAGUCAGAUGUGAAAUCCCCGGGCUUAACCUGGGAACUGCGUUUGAAC